RNAcentral lists this transfer RNA (88 nucleotides) under Gemmatimonadota bacterium. Its description in RNAcentral is "Gemmatimonadetes bacterium tRNA-Leu". It matches the Rfam family "tRNA". From Rfam's summary of the family: Transfer RNA (tRNA) molecules are approximately 80 nucleotides in length. Their secondary structure includes four short double-helical elements and three loops (D, anti-codon, and T loops). Lineage: Bacteria; Pseudomonadati; Gemmatimonadota. RNAcentral also lists the same sequence under 1 other name. The record is from RNAcentral.
GCGGGCGUGGCGGAACUGGCAGACGCGCUGGGCUUAGGCCCCAGUGGAGCAUCGCUCUGUGAGGGUUCAAGUCCCUCCGCCCGCACCA